Long non-coding RNA from Hordeum vulgare subsp. vulgare (domesticated barley), 494 nucleotides. RefSeq lists it as uncharacterized. Lineage: Eukaryota; Viridiplantae; Streptophyta; Magnoliopsida; Poales; Poaceae. The transcript is spliced from 2 exons. The record is from RefSeq and is a predicted model, not a curated record.
CCGCGGCGCCCCUGCUCCCGCCGGUCGCUGCGGUCGCCCCUCCCUUCCUCUGUCGUCUGGUAAAGUGACUUGCAGUUGCAACUUGCAAAGCAGAACAUGAAGAGGAAAAGUGCCAUUCUGGAUCUUUUUAAAAAACAUGAAGAGAAAGUGAGGAAGAUUGCUACUGAACAUCACACGGAAGAUAUUGAAAAUGCGGGGUGUCCUAAUUCCCCAUCUCCUAUCCAUUCGGAUACUGAAAUCGAGGAGGCAACGCCAAGUCUUCCAUCACCUCAACAACCAAGUGCACAUGUCUUUUCAGGUGAUCCAGCGAAAAGAACUCCUAUUUCAGAGUAUGAUUUUAAUGAUCAAGAUAGUGUUCGGAGAAGAUAUAUUGCAAAAACAGCAUGUCGUCCAUAUGGACAUGCUUUUGAAGUUAGGAAAAUCUAUGGUAAAAACCGACACUUUAGUUUUGUUUGGUUUGAAAAGUAUAGUUGGCUAGAAUAUAGUGUCUCAAA